GGUUAAUCGCGUUUGCCUUACCGGCGUAUGUUCGAUACAAUACGAUCGAACCAAAUCGAACGAUGAAUCGUCGAUCAUUACGAACUUUUAUUUGCGAAGGUUAAUAAUUCUAGAACGAUCAUUCUAUUUCUGAUCAAUGAUCCUUGUUAAAUUGAUCAUUGCUGCGACACGAGGAAAAAAGAAAGUGAAAACUUCACUCUAAAUUUAGAUCUUGCUUAUGUUUCGAAUACAUUAUAUGUUUAUUGCAAUUUUCCUGUGCACGUUCCACAAGGAAUUCAAUCAAUAUUUUCACGCCCGUGAUAAGCUAGCAAAGCAUCGUCUAGUGCAACGUAAUUGUCACAGAAACGAAAAAGCGGAAGUGAGAUACGUAUCGUUUCGUUUGCGAUAAAAAGUAUGACCGAGCAAGGCGAUUACAAGAAUGGAAACAUCCGUUCGGGCAAAAAUCAAUUUUCGGAAAAAAAUCAUGAUUAAUGAAAUGCAUGACAAUGAAUCAUAUUUCGUUGGAAGGAAAAAAAUAGUUUACCUCCGGUGAGCACCACUUUGUACAGUCGUUUCUGCUCCAUGUUGUGUGAACGUUUUUGAGAGCCCUUUUUCACUGACCAAGUCCACGAGGUUGUUUCAGGUCGAUGACGAUGGAUGGAUGGAUGGAUAUAUCUUCGUUUGGCUCGUGAAUGGUGUCUACGGUUGUAACGAAUACUACAUGAACACUUCACCGUACAUUACGAUGUACCGCGGAGUCAGAUACGUCGGAGACAUGGGAAUGAAGCGAUGGUAUAUCUCGGACGCAGAAAGACAACAAACUCCCACUUGAGAGAGCAGACGGUCUGACUCGAAAUGAAACGAUCCGCGGCUUUGGCUAAUCGGGUUAUGCUACUUGCUACUCCCUCUGUGUUAUGAUCAUGCGCGAAACGGAAACGCACGAAUUCAUGAGCGCCGUUUACGAACGUAUCCGAACGACGCACUUCGGAUUUGCCGGAAAUUAUUAGCUAGAAACUUCGAACUUCACAAAAGUUUUUUUAUCGAUACUACCUUUUCCUUUUUUAUAUAUUCGUUUCAGCAACAAUCGAACAUGAUUCCCAAACUUCACUAUUGUACGAUUUAUACAGAAAUUGUGAUAUUUCAUCGAGAGAAACGUUUCAAUCGACGUAACUUUGAUGCGCUUUUUUAAACGUAUUAUACACGUAACGAAAUGGACACUUUUACGCGCCAAACAUAAUUUCGGUAGUACAAUAAAAAGAAACGAAGAGGGAGUUUAUAUAGCACCUUUUUUCUUUUUAUCUUUCCAUCUUCCAUUAUUUGUACAAUAGCUAUAAAUUACAACGAUCAUUCUUAAAGCAUACAAUAAAAAAUUUUUCCACUUGUUUACACAACGAAAUUAAUUUACAACGUUUUUUUCUUCCUCUCUCAUAAAACAUACAAUUUUUUCAUCGCAGUUUUUUUCUCUGAUGUUACAGUCAAAAGAUACAAGCACCGAUUUACAUUUCUAAUCAGUCUACCUAAUUAGUAGUAUUUAGAAAUAUAUAUAUAUAUAUAUAUAUUUAGUCUUACGCAUUCGAUUUAUUACGAGAGCGUUUGUAAAUUUUUUUUUACAUUUUUCCUCGUGUUAAUUGAGUUCAGUGAAAUAUCAAAAACUUUUCAGUCUAUCAAGCAAACGUACGCGUUACAGUUUGACUGUAAUUAGUAUAAUUACAUAUAUCGUUGACACAUUUUGUGGUCGUCAUCAUGAACGUGUCGUACACGUAUCAAAAAAAAAAAAAAAGGGGGCGAA
Long non-coding RNA from Osmia lignaria (orchard mason bee), 1768 nucleotides. RefSeq lists it as uncharacterized. NCBI's taxonomy places the organism in Eukaryota, Metazoa, Arthropoda, Insecta, Hymenoptera, Megachilidae. The record is from RefSeq and is a predicted model, not a curated record.